GAUGAAGAACGUAGCGAAAUGCGAUAAGUAGUGUGAAUUGCAGAAUUCAGUGAAUCAUCGAAUCUUUGAACGCACAUUGCGCCCCAUGGUAUUCCGUGGGGCAUGCCUGUUCGAGCGUCAUUUACCCCCUCAAGCUCCGCUUGGUGUUGGGCGUCUGUCCCGCUUCGCGCGCGGACUCGCCUCAAAGGUAUUGGCAGCGGUCGUGCCAGCUUCUCGCGCAGCACAUUGCGCUUCUCGAGGCACCGGUGGGCCCGCGUCCAUCAAGCUCACCCCCCCAGUUUGACCUCGGAUCAGGUAGGGAUACCCGCUGAACUUAAGCAUAUCAAUAAGCGGAGGA
RNAcentral lists this unclassified non-coding RNA (337 nucleotides) under soil metagenome. RNAcentral describes it as "partial contains 5.8S ribosomal RNA, internal transcribed spacer 2, and large subunit ribosomal RNA". The stretch from base 1 to 120 matches the Rfam family "5.8S ribosomal RNA", at positions 35 to 154 of the family's 154-position model. The record is from RNAcentral.